AUUGAACGCUGGCGGCAGGCCUAACACAUGCAAGUCGAGCGGAGCGGCGGACGGGUGAGUAAUGCCUAGGAAUCUGCCUGGUAGUGGGGGCUAACGUCCGGAAACGGGCGCUAAUACCGCACACUAUCAGAUGAGCCUAGGUCGGAUUAGCUAGUUGGUGGGGUAAAGGCAUACCAAGGCGACGAUCCGUAACUGGUCUGAGAGGAUGAUCAGGCAAACUGGAACGGAGACACGGUCCAGACGCCGAAGGGAGGCAUCAGUGGGGAAUAUUGGACAAGGGGCGAAAGCCUGAUCCAGCCAUGCCGCGUGGGUGAAGAAGGUCGUCGGAUUGUAAAGCACUUUAAGUUGGGAGGCGUUACCAACAGAAUAAGCACCGGCGAACUUCGUGCCAGCAGCCGCGGUAAUUC
Molecule: ribosomal RNA, 407 nt
Filed under: uncultured bacterium
Lineage: Bacteria
Description: partial 16S ribosomal RNA
Rfam family: Bacterial small subunit ribosomal RNA
Source: RNAcentral